UACGUAGGCAGCGAGCGUUGUUCGGAGUUACUGGGCGUAAAGGGUGUGUAGGCGGUUCUUUAAGUUUGGUGUGAAAUCUCCCGGCUCAACCGGGAGGGUGCGCCGAAUACUGAGUGACUCGAGUGCGGGAGAGGAAAGUGGAAUUCCUGGUGUAGCGGUGAAAUGCGUAGAUAUCAGGAGGAACACCGGUGGUGUAGACGGCUUUCUGGACCGUAACUGACGCUGAUGCACGAAAGCUAGGGGAGCAAACAGG
This 253-nucleotide ribosomal RNA is filed under the name uncultured bacterium. RNAcentral describes it as "partial 16S ribosomal RNA". It matches the Rfam family "Bacterial small subunit ribosomal RNA", at positions 524 to 776 of the family's 1533-position model. The record is from RNAcentral.